This is a non-coding RNA of Methanofollis liminatans DSM 4140, 74 nucleotides long. The record is from Rfam. NCBI's taxonomy places the organism in Archaea, Methanobacteriati, Methanobacteriota, Methanomicrobia, Methanomicrobiales, Methanomicrobiaceae.
CAGCGAGUAAGUCCUUCCCGAAAAGGAUGAUGCCACCGUAAGGUGGGUGGGACGAAGUAGGGAAGGGUUCACUG